AAGAUUAAGCCAUGCAUGUCUAAGUAUAAACAAUUCUAUACUGUGAAACUGCGAAUGGCUCAUUAAAUCAGUUAUAGUUUAUUUGAUGGUAUCUUGCUACAUGGAUAACUGUGGUAAUUCUAGAGCUAAUACAUGCUGAAAAGCCCCGACUUCUGGAAGGGGUGUAUUUAUUAGAUAAAACCAAUGGGUUUACGCCCUCCUUGGUGAUUCAUAAUAACUUCUCGAAUCGUAU
RNAcentral lists this ribosomal RNA (232 nucleotides) under uncultured fungus. RNAcentral describes it as "partial 18S ribosomal RNA". It matches the Rfam family "Eukaryotic small subunit ribosomal RNA", at positions 40 to 274 of the family's 1831-position model. Lineage: Eukaryota; Fungi. The record is from RNAcentral.